UGGGGAAUAUUGCGCAAUGGGCGAAAGCCUGACGCAGCGACGCCGCGUGAGGGAAGAAGGCCCUAUGGGUCGUAAACCUCUUUUGUCAGGGAACAAAAGCGAGUAUGUAUACUGGUCUGAGUGUACCUGAAGAAAAAGCAUCGGCUAACUCCGUGCCAGCAGCCGCGGUAAUACGGAGGAUGCGAGCGUUAUCCGGAUUUAUUGGGUUUAAAGGGUGCGUAGGCGGCGGUGCAAGUCAGCGGUAAAAGCCCGGGCUCGAACCUCGGCGAGCCGUUGAAACUGGCGGACUAGAGACGGUGAGAGGUAUGCGGAAUGCGCAGUGUAGCGGUGAAAUGCAUAGAUAUUGCGCAGAACUCCGAUUGCGAAGGCAGCAUACCGGUGCCGGACUGACGCUGAGGCACGAAAGCGUGGGAGUCAAACAGGAUUAGAUACC
RNAcentral lists this ribosomal RNA (433 nucleotides) under uncultured bacterium. RNAcentral's name for it is "bacterial SSU rRNA". It matches the Rfam family "Bacterial small subunit ribosomal RNA", at positions 355 to 786 of the family's 1533-position model. The record is from RNAcentral.